GGUUCUCCCACCAUUCACUCUUAGUCUCCUUUACAGUUGCCACUCUUAUUCUCCAAGCUCCCUCCAGGAGAACUCUCAAGGGACUAAUAUCACCUGAUUCCAUGUCUUUGGCUGGGACCUCUUCCCUGAGCUCCCAUCACAUUGGAUCUCUCGAGACACAUUGGAUCUCAAAGACACUGUGUCAAAUUGCACCCAUCACCUUCACCCAAACCUGCUUCUCCAUCAGCUGCCUAUAAGAAGUAACUAAAACUUAUCAACAGGAAAAUAUAAUAGUGACAAA
RNAcentral lists this long non-coding RNA (280 nucleotides) under Pan troglodytes (chimpanzee). RNAcentral describes it as "long non-coding RNA NONPTRT002808". The record is from RNAcentral. Lineage: Eukaryota; Metazoa; Chordata; Mammalia; Primates; Hominidae.